UCGGAACGAAAGGAAUUGUUCCAUGCCAACGCUUAACCUUAGUUGUAAUACGUACCAUCAAAGAUUCGCAUCAGAAGCAUUACCCAUUCGGAUCGAAAUAAUUUAUAUAGGUACUUUUUUUUGAAUAAAAGUUUUGAAAAUCCUUCAUGAAUAUGCCCGCCAUUAAAGCCUAUUUCUUCAUUUUAUUGGUUAUAGCGUUACAACUUUAUGCCGUUAAAUGCGGAGAAUCAGACCCACCAGAUGCUGGGAAUGCAGAUUCCGAUAUAUAUUCUGACAGUAUUUGGCUUGGUGCUGCCGUUGAUAGAGCAUACGACUAAAAUCGACAUGUCAAUUGUUUCUUAAUAUAAACACAUAUCCUGAUUUUCAACAAAAAUAAACCUAGGGCUACCUAAUAAUUUUCAUCCUUUUCAUAAUAAUUUCAGUACCCGAACCAUUACAUAAAACGCACUCAAGAUUGUAAAUUCUAUCUAGUUUAGUAAAAUUAAUUAAU
This is a long non-coding RNA of Planococcus citri (citrus mealybug), 490 nucleotides long. RefSeq lists it as uncharacterized. The record is from RefSeq and is a predicted model, not a curated record. The transcript has 3 exons. NCBI's taxonomy places the organism in Eukaryota, Metazoa, Arthropoda, Insecta, Hemiptera, Pseudococcidae.